GUCCACGCCGUAAACGAUGAGUACUGGGUGUCGCGGGUAGUUGACCCCUGCGGUGCCGUAGCUAACGCGUUAAGUACUCCGCCUGGGGGAUUACGGUCGCAAGAUUAAAAACUCAAAAGGAAUUGACGGGGGCCCGCACAAGCGGUGGAGCAUGUGGUUUAAUUCGACGCAACGCGAAGAACCUUACCUAGGCUAGACAACGGUGGACAUCCCCAGAGAUGGGGCUUUCCCUUCGGGGACUGCCGGUUCAGGUGCUGCAUGGCUGUCGU
Molecule: ribosomal RNA, 269 nt
Filed under: uncultured bacterium
Lineage: Bacteria
Description: partial 16S ribosomal RNA
Rfam family: Bacterial small subunit ribosomal RNA
Source: RNAcentral